CAGCAACGGAAAUACCUUUUUGUAGCUGGUAGCUUUUCUUCCACCAACAGUUUUUUUUUUUGCCAGCUUUUUUUCACACCGUUUCAGAAACAGUAUUCUCAAAUUUUUUCGAAGAUGAAAACUGUUGACCUAAGUUUGCCUUUUGAGUGGUGCACACAAGGACCAUUUUGCUUCAAAACUUGCUGUGUGAUUCAUUUCGAAGAGGAACUGUGAUGCCAUGCCACAAAGUGUGAACGAUUGAACUCUCAAUUCUCACAGCAGCCCACUCAAGUUUCUCAUGAGAACAUUUAUCUAGAAUAAAAUGAAACCUUUGUUCUAAAGCCAUUUGCCACCCUCAGUUGUUCAGUGAUUGUAGCUAUGAUGACUGAUCAGUACCAUGAUUUUGAAGUGGGACCCUAACAGUCCGAAGAACGGUGCAGGAGGGACUUCAAGGAGAACUUCGCAGAAGAGAGCUCGGUUUAGUGUCACUGUCUGUGAGACGCGGCUCUCUCUCUCGUGCGCACCGAACACAGCGUGCGAGUAACCAGCUACUCAAAGUUUGUGCUCUACAAGUGAACGACGCCUUGUGUACCAUCCCAAAGAAGUUCAAAAUCACUCUCACAGACCUUUUCUUGGACUGUGGCAAGCUGGUGGAAUGACCUCCCAAUUUCAAUUCGUACAGCUGAGUCUUUACUCAUUUUCAAGAAACAUCUAAAGACUCAUCUUUUUCGCAUGCGCUUAACAAACUGAUACUAGCACUUUUUCCUUUUCUUGUUUUUUCAUUUAAAAAAAAAAAAAAAAGACUGGCUAUGCUUUCUGUACUAGACUAACUGAGACUUGUCAUGGCACUUGUAUACUGUUGUUGUUCUCUUGUUGAUCUGACUGCUUCUAUUGUUCUCAUUUGUAAGUCGCUUUGGAUAAAAGCAUCUGCUAAAUGAUUAAAUGUAAAUGUUAAUGGACAUUGAUCACAACUGUCCAAAUGUUUACAAUAGAUAAAUAAGAAAAAACACUGAAGUUUGGGUUCGGUUUUGUCAUAUAUGGCAUUAUACGAAGAAUACCUGUCUAUAAAAUAAAAUGCAUUUUUUUUUUAGUUAUAAUAUUCACUUUGAUGUUUUCUUUUAUUGUGUACUGAUCAUAUUUAUUACACUUGGAAUAAAAAGCUUCUUAAAAAACAUUAAUUUAGAGUAGAAAUAAUGAUAGGCUGGAUUAAUUAAACAAUGAUGCAAACGGGUAGCCUGGUAAUACCAGACUCUGCUACUUCACUUUGCUUCGUAGACAGAGUCUGGAAUGGCAUAACAGAGAAGUGUUUUCUCUCUCGCUAGGGGGCGCUUGUCUGAAGUUUAAAAUCAUUGGUUACCCGUAGCCAAUCAGAUACGUUUAGUUAUGACUUAUGUUAUGCGCCUGUACACUCGCAUCGAAGCACAGACAUCAUGCAUCGAACUCAAAUCUAUGAUUGAACUUCCACUGUAAACCUGUUGUUAACACAUGAUGAUGCGAGCGAAAUACCGGAGUGAACAUGGCUGUAAACGACUUUUGCAGUUUGAAAAAGAGUUGAAUGUUCUCCAUGACAGAGUGAAUUGCAUCCCGUGUCUCGUUUCCCAUUUCCGCGGUCGUUUCAGUUUUCGAUUUCUCUAACCUACAAUGUAAAACUCGGCGCUAAGCAUCUACGUCACGGCUCUCAGCCCACCCUUUGUUCGUUGAUUGGCCCGGCUGUUUCCAGACCGGUGGCAAACAGAAAGCUCUGACGCUGUAUCAGACUGAGUACAGCAGCGAAAUGAAAUUGAGCGGAAGUAGGAAGUCUGACGUAGUCAGGCUAGCAAACCGGGCAGAUAUAGUGAAUUGGGGGCCCCAGGCAAAUAUAGUAAUGGGGCCCUAUAAAUUAGCACACAUUUACCUAGAUCAACCUUCAGGUUCAUUUUUGUCGUGAUUUGUCCACAUUGUUGUGUCCAAUGUUUCUAAAUUUUUUAGGUAAAUGUUAGAAUGGGAUUGUUUAAUUUACAUUUACAUUAAUUCAUUUAGCAUUAUUAAUUUCUAUUAUUUAAUGUGGUAGACCACAAUAUAGUAAUUAAUUUACCAUUGAGAUGCAAGUUUUGACAAAAAACUAAAUAAAUUAUAAAAUGAUAAACCUGAUAAAACUGAACCUUUAAACCCUUUUUUUUUUUUUUAAGAAAAGGGAUGAAUCACAAGUAUAAAUUAUUAUAUAAUUUAAAAUGGAUUCAUGUGGGUGAAUUUUCACAUUGGUCUGAACAAAAACUGCAGACUGGAUUAUUGAAAAUGCACAUUCAUUCUCUGCCAAUAGGAGGUGCUUUUGGCACGUCAGAAAUAUAGUGGUUUACCCUGUAAAGGCUGUUAACAAAGCAGCUCAUCUCAUAAAUUACACUUAAUCAGGUAAAAUGAAAAUGUUAUAUUUUUUGAAGACAAUCAGUUCCCUUCAGAGGUAAGUAUGAGAAAAGUGUGAAAAAUUGUAGCCUAUAUUGACGAAGAAAGUCCACUGAUGAGUUACCAGCAUAAGCCUACAUUUAAGGGCUGUCAGUCAAUUAAAAUAUAUAAUCGCGAUUUAUUGCAUGAUAAUCAUGAGUUAACUCGUGAAUAAUCACAAUUUAAUCACACAUUUUUAUCUGUUCUAAAUGUACCUUAAAUUAAUAUUUUCCCCUCGGUUUCACAGAAAAGGCUUAAGCAAGUCCCAGACUAAAAUACAUGUUUGAGCUGUCUCAACUGAAAAUAUCUUGCUCUGACACAUCAUAUGUCAGUGUCAUUGUUCUGUGUCAAGAUGCACACCUGUAACAUUGUCUUCUAAUUUUUUUGUAAAAAUUUCUUAAAUAUUUUAAUUUAACUAAGGCCUAGUCCUGGUUUAAGAGAAGACCUGUUUGUGAAACCCUUCAAGUUUUUAAUCUAAUCAUCAUGGGCAUGGACAAAUGCUUUGUGUAAUAUAUUUUUAUUAUUAGUGAAACCACAGUUAACAGAGAAUGAAGAGUAGACAUGUUUCUUAGGUCAUAGAUGUUUUUCAAAGAACUUCAUGUCUAUUAGACAAAAAAAAAAAAAAAAAAAAAAACUGCACUGAGCUGUUUACUUAAAGUACACAACCUGUUUGUAUUUUUCAUAAAACAGGGCAGCUCACUUCUUCUGAACAUGCAAAAUAUACAUUUGUUAUUUAUAAAUACAUUUGUUUACCUCUCUGUGUCACAUUCUGUAUGAUGAUGCAGCUAAACUCCCCCCCCACUCUUUAUGAAAGGGUUAAAGUAAGUGCACUGUGAAAAACACAUCACCUCAGAUUUAAAGAUGAAAUAAAUACAUAUAAUUCAGAAUGAAGACAUGCAUCUGAUAUUAACAAGCUUAAUAAUUAUUGAUGUUGCUCAUGUUGUGAAACCAAGAUAUGCAACAAAAACUAAAAGCUCUCUAGUCAGUACUGAAACAGAAAAAAAACACCCCGGCAGACAGACAGGCUUACCACAAAAUGGUUCAGAGAUUGCUAUCAUGAAGAAAACAUCUGUCCCAUACCAUAGUGGAAAAGGUGACAAGAGGCCCAAGGCCAUUGAAACAAGACGGAGGUAGUAGUAAUGUCUGUGUUGUUUUCGAUUCUUUCACUCUCGGCCUCCUAUGCUGAUUACACUGGACUUAGUGCAUGCACUAUAUUUGCAAGUCGUGCAAAGAAUGGAAACUAGAAUUUUGUCAGUGGCUGAGACUUUUGGAAUUUCAGAAACAAGUAACAGUUUUGAUUAUUCUGUAGGCACCCAGCUGAAAAAUAAAUGUGCUAAGUGUACUAAAAUUUAGCAUACUUUUGUGUACUUGUGGCCACACUAAUCAUCAUUAUACUUCAAGUGUGUUCAUGAUUAGUUAACUUGAAGCUUGCUAUUUUGGAACAACUAAUUGUGUACUAAAUAUAUUUUAAUUGUAAUUAAAUUGUAGAAAAACUCAACUUGAAGUGUAUUUAGUGUACUUUUAUGUGCUAAAGUGGAACAACUUAAAGUAUAUUUUGUAUACUUUAAGCAUAUAAUAUAUGCUUAAUAAGUACCAUUAUAGUAUACUUUGUCUUAUUUAAAAUUAAUUGUUAGUGUUUUAUAAAUAUAUAAGCUGUAUACUUUUAAUAUAUUUUUACUGUGCUAAUAAUGUGCCUAAUUAAAAUUUUGGCUCAUUCCAAUUACCUACAAUGUUGAAAGAGAUUAAAAUUCUUGGGGAGCUAGUACUUUACAGACAUCAACGCCAAACCGACCUCUAUAUCAGUCCUUUACGCAUGAAUACUGCCAGUGACUUUUUGAUCUGUACACUCUCCAAGUGGUCUUGUUUGCAGUAGCCCUGUUUUUUCUCCAUUAAAUAAUACCAAUAAAAUAUUCUUUUUUUAAACACUUGUGACAAUGUUAACACAGUGUGAGUGAACUUCAUUUUUCAUAGUUAUACUAUUGAACACUUUCUAAAAGAAUGUCCUGAAGUACUAGCGUGAAUAAUUUCACUCCAUAAACAGACUAAAAUCUAACUUAAAACACUCAAACUUAAUAUUACAGUUUUUAUUUUAAAAUGUGUUAUUUUAAAAUGUGCUUUUAUUCU
Molecule: long non-coding RNA, 4521 nt
Organism: Carassius gibelio (silver crucian carp)
Lineage: Eukaryota; Metazoa; Chordata; Actinopteri; Cypriniformes; Cyprinidae
Exons: 3
Source: RefSeq, a predicted model, not a curated record